Molecule: transfer RNA, 71 nt
Filed under: Marmota monax (woodchuck)
Lineage: Eukaryota; Metazoa; Chordata; Mammalia; Rodentia; Sciuridae
Description: tRNA.Ala
Rfam family: tRNA
About the family: Transfer RNA (tRNA) molecules are approximately 80 nucleotides in length. Their secondary structure includes four short double-helical elements and three loops (D, anti-codon, and T loops).
Source: RNAcentral
GGGGUUGUGGCUCAGUGGUAGAGUGUUUGUCCAGCAUGCAUGAAGCACUGAGUUCAACCCUCAGCACCACA